Molecule: long non-coding RNA, 1268 nt
Filed under: Chrysolophus pictus (golden pheasant)
Lineage: Eukaryota; Metazoa; Chordata; Aves; Galliformes; Phasianidae
Description: lncRNA (ENSCPIG00010001390.1)
Source: RNAcentral
AGCUGAGGCACAGGAGUGCAGUGAUGAGCUGAGGAUGAAAGCAGUUCCCUCCAGCUCCAUUAGCUGAGCUUUCCUUGUGUUGUUAGGGGCAGCUGCAUCAGAACUCUGCACCUCUCAGUGUGUCAUCUCUAGGCUUACCCUCUUCUCUGUCCAGCUGGGCAGGAUGAGGCUCAUCCUGGAACAAGUGACUGGAUGGCUUCUGUGUAAUUAGUCACCACUCAUCAGCUGGCCUCCAGUAGUUGGCUAUAAGAAGCUAGUUGUCUGUCCUUAGUAAAAUGGCAUGAGCCACAAGAAAGGAGUAUUUUUUCUUUGCAGUGGGUGGGGGAAAUGAGAAUGGUCUGUUAAUGUGAUCAGCUGACAGAUGGUAACUCACAGGGGAUAAUUAACUGUUUGCUAGUACAGGAUGUCGAGUAUGUAACAAUGCUGUCAGCAAAGACGUCAACACAAGAAGAGGAUUGGGUGUGUGAUAUGGCUCAGAGAGGACCAGAGCAUGAGCUGGCUGCAAGGUGAUGCUAAAAGGAGGAUCUCUCCCUCCAGUCUGGAACUAACGAGGUGCCUGACAGAGAGCCAUCAAACCAAACGCACGGGAUCAUUUGUGGAGGUGUUUGUUUGAAGCUGAGUGGACAGGAAUCACGUUUCAGAGCCGUCAGGGCUGCGCCCCUCUGCCUGCACGAUGCUUUGUGUUGACCACCCUGCUCGGCUGAAGGAGAUGCAAAGUGGGAGAAGCAGAGGGUUCAGCCUCGAUGUCUGUCUGUCCGUCAGCUCCCUUCGGAAAGGUCCUGCUGGCUCCUGACUUGCCUCUUCUCAGAUCCUGGCCAACCUCUUGCAUCCAGGGCUACUUGGCAGAUGGGUGCUGUGCUGUGUUGGGUGGGAUUGCCCCUGAUGACCUCAGCCUGAUGAACACAGCUGUGUUGGAGCUGUACCCAGGGCAGGCCAGGUGCACCUUUCUGAAAGAGUUAUCUGGAGAAAUCCUGUGUUUCCAGAUAAGGAUGUACUGGAUUUACAAUUGCCUACCACUGUUAAUGCAUCCUCGUCUGUGUGGUCAUGUGAAGGUUGCUUUCCCAUUGACCAGAGGCAGACCCAUGGUUCAUCUGUGCACCCUUCUUAGAGCUGCUGAAGAGACUCAAAAUGGGGUGGUGGCCCCAUGUUCCUUCCUGGAGCGUGCUCUGCCUCAAGGGGCUUCCUUGUCUCCACUGCAGCAAGAUGCAGAGCCUGAACUAACCCUGAGCAAGGAACUGUGGCGUCCAGAAACAGCAGAUCUGCUUUAA